CCUCACAUUAUACUUCAACAACAUGUCUGCCUAAACAAGCUCUGAAGAAGGACAACACCAAUAGAAAUGUUAAUGCGGAUAGGAGACUCUCAAGGGGACCCACUAAAGGACAAAAACUACAGGCAACUAAGAAACUGAAAGAAAUUUCAACAAAGCAAUUCCAAUAUAAAUAUACUAUAGUCCUAUAGGCCCACAAGAGACUGAACUGUUGUCCACAAUAUACUGAGCCCAGUAGGAGAGGGAGUCAAGAUGCUUCAUUUUUACUUGAACCAAUACUACCUAAAGGUGAAAGAUGACAAGACAUGAGUAAAUUGCUAAAGACCCAGAAAGACCAGAAAGACAGCAUCAGGACCUCCUACAUGACUACUAGAUGCAGAAACCAAGAACCAAAUGAUUACGACAGAUUGCAGACAACUGGGACAGAAACGAGUUGUUCACUUAGAGGCACUACAAUUAGCGUGCCCAAGAGACCACGAAGUAACCGAGAAUGAGAGUAAUACCUAUUCAAGUCUCUUGAAACUCAAUAAUGGGAACUAACUGAAAGAAGAAUUCUUACAUCUUGAAUUGGAAAUGAGAAUAAGUUUGUUAUUGGUAAAGAGAAGAAAGAAUAUAUAUGGUUCACGAACAGAAUAUAACUAGAAAUCCUGUGUGAGUAGAAGUGUUGAUGCACAUCUAAGAUCAGAAAAACAGCAUCAGCACUGUGCUGUUUCAAAACGUAUUGUUUUGAGAAAGAAAAUGCUCUAAUAGAUUUUUAAUGUGAUUUCAUUUAUACUAUAAAACAGUAUAU
Molecule: small RNA, 787 nt
Filed under: Rattus norvegicus (Norway rat)
Lineage: Eukaryota; Metazoa; Chordata; Mammalia; Rodentia; Muridae
Description: uncharacterized LOC102555669
Source: RNAcentral